This 632-nucleotide ribosomal RNA is filed under the name Salmonella enterica. Its description in RNAcentral is "bacterial SSU rRNA". It matches the Rfam family "Bacterial small subunit ribosomal RNA", at positions 1 to 622 of the family's 1533-position model. The record is from RNAcentral. Lineage: Bacteria; Pseudomonadati; Pseudomonadota; Gammaproteobacteria; Enterobacterales; Enterobacteriaceae.
AAAUUGAAGAGUUUGAUCAUGGCUCAGAUUGAACGCUGGCGGCAGGCCUAACACAUGCAAGUCGAACGGUAACAGGAAGCAGCUUGCUGCUUCGCUGACGAGUGGCGGACGGGUGAGUAAUGUCUGGGAAACUGCCUGAUGGAGGGGGAUAACUACUGGAAACGGUGGCUAAUACCGCAUAACGUCGCAAGACCAAAGAGGGGGACCUUCGGGCCUCUUGCCAUCAGAUGUGCCCAGAUGGGAUUAGCUUGUUGGUGAGGUAACGGCUCACCAAGGCGACGAUCCCUAGCUGGUCUGAGAGGAUGACCAGCCACACUGGAACUGAGACACGGUCCAGACUCCUACGGGAGGCAGCAGUGGGGAAUAUUGCACAAUGGGCGCAAGCCUGAUGCAGCCAUGCCGCGUGUAUGAAGAAGGCCUUCGGGUUGUAAAGUACUUUCAGCGGGGAGGAAGGUGUUGUGGUUAAUAACCGCAGCAAUUGACGUUACCCGCAGAAGAAGCACCGGCUAACUCCGUGCCAGCAGCCGCGGUAAUACGGAGGGUGCAAGCGUUAAUCGGAAUUACUGGGCGUAAAGCGCACGCAGGCGGUCUGUCAAGUCGGAUGUGAAAUCCCCGGGCUCAACCUGGGAACU